AGCGAACGCUGGCGGCAGGCCUAACACAUGCAAGUCGAACGGAUCCUUCGGGAUUAGUGGCGGACGGGUGAGUAACACGUGGGAACGUGCCCUUUGGUUCGGAACAACUCAGGGAAACUUGAGCUAAUACCGGAUGUGCCCUUCGGGGGAAAGAUUUAUCGCCAUUGGAGCGGCCCGCGUCUGAUUAGCUAGUUGGUGAGGUAACGGCCCACCAAGGCGACGAUCAGUAGCUGGUCUGAGAGGAUGAUCAGCCACACUGGGAUUGAGACACGGCCCAGACUCCUACGGGAGGCAGCAGUGGGGAAUCUUGCGCAAUGGGCGAAAGCCUGACGCAGCCAUGCCGCGUGAAUGAUGAAGGUCUUAGGAUUGUAAAAUUCUUUCAGCGGGGACGAUAAUGACGGUACCCGCAGAAGAAGCUCCGGCUAACUUCGUG
RNAcentral lists this ribosomal RNA (433 nucleotides) under uncultured bacterium. Its description in RNAcentral is "partial 16S ribosomal RNA". It matches the Rfam family "Bacterial small subunit ribosomal RNA", at positions 29 to 507 of the family's 1533-position model. The record is from RNAcentral.